GGGCGUAAAGAGCUCGUAGGCGGUUAGUCACGUCGGAUGUGAAAACCAGGAGCUUAACUCCUGGCCUGCAUUCGAUACGGGCUGACUAGAGUGUUGUAGGGGAGACUGGAACUCCUGGUGUAGCGGUGAAAUGCGCAGAUAUCAGGAAGAACACCGGUGGCGAAGGCGGGUCUCUGGGCAACUACUGACGCUGAGGAGCGAAAGCGUGGGGAGCAAACAGGAUUAGGUACCCUGGUAGUCCAUGCCGUAAACGGUGGGCGCUAGGUGUGAGGGUCUUUUCACGACUUUCGUGCCGUAGCUAACGCAUUAAGCGCCCCGCCUGGGGAGUACGGCCGCAAGGCUAAAACUCAAAGGAAUUGACGGGGGCCCGCACAAGCGGCGGAGCAUGUGGAUUAAUUCGAUGCAACGCGAAGAACCUUACCUGGGCUUGACAUACACCGGACCGCUGCAGAGAUGUAGUUUCCCUUUGUGGCUGGUGUACAGGUGGUGCAUGGUUGUCGUCAGCUCGUGUCGUGAGAUGUUGGGUUAAGUCCCGCAACGAGCGCAACCCUCGUUCUAUGUUGCCAGCACGUAAUGGUGGGAACUCAUGGGAUACUGCCGGGGUCAACUCGGAGGAAGGUAAU
Molecule: ribosomal RNA, 623 nt
Filed under: uncultured Actinomycetes bacterium
Lineage: Bacteria; Bacillati; Actinomycetota; Actinomycetes
Description: bacterial SSU rRNA
Rfam family: Bacterial small subunit ribosomal RNA
Source: RNAcentral